UUACAGAUCACCUGGGAUCCAUGGCUUCAGAAAUUCCAAAAGGCGCCCUGCAGGACUCUGGUGCAUGAAAGCCAGAAGCCACUGAGAUCUUGGGAUGGUGGCUGCAGCUUAGUCCUGCCUGCUGUCACUCAGAGGAUAGGCAGCCUGGGAACCAAGUGUCACUGAGUAAUCACCAGAAGGAAAAAAAAAGAGCUCUGGAUGGCUGAUCCACACAUGAGGGUCAUGACUCAAGAUGUCUUUGCACGUGUCAAAGAGUGCACCACCUCGCCCAGUCAGGAUAAG
Molecule: non-coding RNA, 282 nt
Organism: Peromyscus maniculatus bairdii (prairie deer mouse)
Lineage: Eukaryota; Metazoa; Chordata; Mammalia; Rodentia; Cricetidae
Source: RefSeq, a predicted model, not a curated record